GUCACGGUAUUUCUCGACAUUCAAAUUGCCAUCGAUAAAAUGCAAUUGUGUUCGUUGUCCGUAGUUUAUUCCUGCCCAUACCACAACCCCCUCUGUUUACAACGUUGACAACAGCAAACCUCUCUCCAGACGACCCAGAGGCACAACCCCCUCUGUUUACAACGUUGACAACAGCAAACCUCUCUCCAGACCACCCAGAGGCACGACACCAUCUGUUUACAACGUUGACAACAGCAAACCUCUCUCCAGACGACCCAGAGGCACACACCAUCUGCCGUAGAGGUGAAACUGCGAUUCAUCCAUGAAGUACCCAUUUUCUCCAGCGUGCCAGUGGCCCUCGGUGAGCAUUUGCCCACUGAAGUCGGUUACGACGCCGAACUGCAGUCAGGUCAAGACCCUGGUGAGGUCCUGGUGAGCACGUAGAUGAGCUGAAACGAGACGGUUUCUGUUUGUGCAGAUAUUGGUUGUGAAAACCCACAGUUUAAUCAGAUGUCCGGCUGGCUGGUCUCAGACAAUCCCGCAGGUGAAGAAGCCAGAUGUGAAGGUCCUGGGCUGGCGUUGUUACACGUGGUCUGUGGUUGUGAGGCCGGUUGGACUUACUGCCAAAUUCUCUAAAACAACGGAGGCAGCUUAUGGGAGAGAAAUUAACAUUCAAUUCUCUGGCAACAUCUCUGGUGGACAUUCCUGCAAUCAGCAUGCAAAUUGCACUCUCCCUCAAAACUUGAGACAUCUGUGUCAUUGUGUGACAAAACUGCACAUUUUAGAGUGGCCUUUUAUUGGCCCCCAGCACAAACUGCACCUACUGUAUGUAAUGAUCAUGCUUUUUAAUCAGCUUCUUGAUAUGCAACACCUGUCGGGUGGUGGAUUAUCUUGGCAAAGGAGAAAUGCUCAUUAACAGGGAUGUAAACACAUUUGUGCACAAAAUUUGAGAGAAAUAAGCUUUUUGUGCACAUGGACAUUUUCUGGGGGAUAAUUUAUUUCAGCUCAUGAAACAUGGGACCAACACUUUACAUGUUGCGUUUAUAUUUUUGUUGUUCCUCUCG
Molecule: long non-coding RNA, 1043 nt
Organism: Oncorhynchus tshawytscha (Chinook salmon)
Lineage: Eukaryota; Metazoa; Chordata; Actinopteri; Salmoniformes; Salmonidae
Source: Ensembl